AAAAAUUUUAAAAAAAAAAAGUUCAUUUUAAGCAUAAUAGCCUAAAGGACCGGAUGACAUCAUCAAGAUGGUGACAUAGAUUGUUCCUGGUUCCUAACUUCAAUCUUCCUAAUAUGAAGACCAACUAGCCACUAUGCAGACAGGACACCAUUAUGAAACUGCAGAGUCCAGGGAGGAGGCUGUAGGCCUCCCCUGGACAACAGAGACUGAGCAGGACUGCAUUUGAAAGAAGCCGGGCAAGAAGGCGGAGGAGCAGGGUCCUCACCUCACCUGGUCCCCCCGACUCACCUGGAUAACUUUCAAACCACCCUGAAAACCUAUGAAUCUGACCUGAGAUGUAAAGAGAGGACAGCCGGAUGCUACAGAGAGAAGGGUUUUCGCUUCUAACAAGUCAAGGAAAUUGAGGCUUACUGAAGUAAGAUAAUGUGGCCAAGAUCAACAGCUGGAACUCAUGGAUAUUGAACCAGACAGUAUGUUGCAAUGGUAAAUAAAACAGAAAAUAUCCCUGCUUCAUGGCAUUUACCAUCUACUAGAAAAGUUGGACAUAAACACUCACUUAAUUAUAUAAUUAAAUGUUGUGAUAACUUCUGUGAAGUAAAUUAACUGGCUCCUAAGAGACAGAAUAACAGCUGGGGAGUGGGAGCUAAGUUGGACUGGAGAAUUGGUGGGUAUAGUAUUUGAACUGAAUCUUAAUAGAUGAGUUGCUUUUAGCUAAGUGAAGACUGUUAACGGAUGGGUGAGAAGAGGUGAAGGAGCUGUAUCAGUGGAGAAAAUAACAUAUGUAAAACCUGAGGCAGGCACAAGGUUCGUGUUCUCUAGGAACCUUUUUGAAACUGGUUCAGUGAUGCUGUCAUGUGCAAACAUGAGAUGGAGUUUUAAGAUCUAGACAGAGGCCAGAUCCUGCAGAUCGUUUGGGGCCAUGUUAAAGAGAUUGGGUUUUAUCUGAAAUAGAAAGCAAAGCCAUUGAAAGGGAUAGGAGAGGGAACCUUUUCAUAUUGGACAAAUUUAUUUUCAAUGACCAUGAGGCAUUUAAGUGGCUGAGUCAAGUAGUUAACUGGAUAUGAGCUUGUCAUUCUGGGGGUUAGGAUUGUCAAUAUCAAUUUGGACAUCAUUAGCACAGACAGUAUUUUUAAAAUCAUGAGAAUGAAUGAGACCACUAGGUUGAGAGUCUAAGAAAAGAACCCAAAGAACUUCAACAUUGAGAUGUUGAUAAAAAGAGUAACGAGGGCAGCCCAGGUGGCUCAGUAGUUUAGUGCUGCCUUCAGCCCAGAGCGUGAUCCUGGAGUUCCAGGAUCCAGUCCCAUGUCGGGCUCCCUGCAGGGAGCCUGCUUCUCCCUCUGCCUGUGUCUCUGCCUCUCUCUCUCCUCUCUGUGUAUUCUCAUGAAUAAAUAAAUAAAAUCUAAAAAAAAAAAAAAAAAAAGGAGUAACGAGCAAAGGAGACUAAGAAAGAAUUGCCAAAAAUAUAAGAGGAACUGUGGUGUCAAGGCAUCAAUGAAGCCCAUGGUUUUGACAAAUAGUGGCCACUUGGGUCAAAUCUUCAAAGUCCAUUAUAGAGGUCAGUGUCAACUUUAGCAACAAUGAGUUAGAUGGAGUGUUGGAGGCAGAUGCCAGAUUCAAGCGAGUGGAAAGGCAAACAGAAGGUUCAGAAAUAAAGCCAAGGCCAGAGGAAAGUUUUUAAAAAAGAUUUAAAUACAAACAGAAAGAGAAAUACAGAGCAGUAAGUGUGGGAAGAUGAGAUGCUUAAAACAAACAAACACACAACUUUUUUAAAGACCAGAAGUAGUAGAAAACGCUUAUAUGUUAAUAAAACAAUCCAAUUGGAGCAGAGGUUUAAGAUGAAGGGGAGAGGAAGAACAACUGAAGAUGUAAAUUCCUUGAGAAGGUGAGAGAGCCCAGGAUUCAGAAUAGAAGUAGAGGGCCUCUUUGUUAGGAGAAGUGGUUACUGAUCCUAAUGAUGUGGUGAUACAAAUUUACUCAGCUGCAUGAAUCUCUUCAUUGAUGCCCAGCUUCAAAGAUACAGCCUAGAGGCAGGUAAUUGGGUUGAUGUCAUGUGGAGUUUUGCCAGAGCAGUUCAUGAGAUUGAGAGAUCAACAAUGGCAAUUUACAAGGGGGUGCUGAUAGCAGGUUGGGCUUGGGACUUUUGAUAAUAGACUGAUGCAGACUUGGUAUUUGUAGUAGUGAGCAGCAUGUGGCCUAACUACUUUCGAGAUGUGUCCUGCGAUGUAUAUUCAAUUUGAAGGCUAAUACCUGUUUCUUUAUUGCUACUUCUGAAAUAUAUCUAGGCAUGAACAUUUUAGUAGCUAAAAUGUAGUGCCAAUUUUUCUCAUUCGGCAUUCUUCAGUCAAGUAAGUAAGUAAGAAUAAGCAUUUUUAUGGAUCUCUAUAAACAUUAUUUUCAUUUUGAAUUCUAAAAAUGGGUCUUGUAAACACCUUUUCAAAAUUUUAUUCCAAGUUGGUCUUCACGCAAAGACUGAGCUCAUUACUAAGACUGAGGGCAUGGUGGCUGUGAAGAACAAUCACAGGCUCAGGGGAUGAGUGAGUGGGCAAUGACUCUGGGGCAGUCACUUUCACUUAGAACACAUUUCUAAAAGUGUUGCUUCUGGAAACUUCCUAACCACUGGGUAUCACAAAUGAUUACUUGGCCUACUGGGUGAAAGAUGUCACAAAUUAGCUUUAAGAAAUUUAAAAAUAUGAGUCUAAAUAUGAAUGUAAGUUAGAUUAGAGUGCACAUGUAAAGGAACUGAUUUUUAACAUUUUUGGAUAAGAUUUCCCUGUUUACAAUCUACUCUCCCUUAACAAAUACUUUCGAUAGAUUUUUUUUUAAAGAUGCACUACCUAAUUAUCCUCCUACACACAUGUUCCUUCUUUGAGGCUCCUUCCUUUCUGUCUAUGAAAAUCCAUCCAGCAGAUACCCUCUCUCCCAGCUAAGCACUGACUGUGACCUCUGUCUUGGCAACCAUUACCUCCUUGUCCUUUGAAGUGACAGCAUGCAGUGGUGGCAGUAGGAUGCAUUUACAACAGAGCAGGCCUCCUCAUGCAACUAGUAUUUCCAAAUGCCUAUUAUUUAAUGGUGUGAUUUGGUGUUUUACCCGCCUGCCCAGUAUAAUGAAAAAUGUAAAAAGAGAGGUAAUUUUCUGUGAUUGUUCUAAGUAAGAUUAGGAUAAUUCUUCUCCAUAAAUAAAUAAUCAAACAUUCAUUAAAAAAUAAACAUGUUAUCAGUAGAAAUCAGCAAGCAGUUUAAUAUUUAUUUAUGCAAUACACAUAUUUAUAUUUUAACUUCCUCCAUUCUUCCCAAGCUCCCAACCUAUUGGUAGCUUAGUUCACUUUUGGAAAAUGUAUAACAGCUAUUCACAAAUUCUAGGAGAGGUACUUGAUAAAUAUUGAAUAAAUGAGUAACAUCGUAUGCUGUACCCGUAUAUUAUCUCAUGUAAUUCUCACAGUAACCCCUGAGAAAUGGGUAUAUUAUCAUCAAAUAAAGAUAGGAAGAGUUGAAGGGCUUGAGUAACCAGCCUACAGUGACAGAGCUAGUAAGUGAAAGGGCCCAAAUUAAGCCCAGGACUCCACAUUCAAAUUUUUAUGUUCUUUUUAGUAUCGGCACCGUGCUUCCAAAUGCUGCAUGGUAGGAGCUGGGGUGAGUCACGUGACUGGAUUUGGAUGCAAUGGGAAGACAGUAGAUGAGAGUCUCUGGCCUGUGUUGUCUUCUAAAAAUACUUUUUGGAGGAACUAACUAGUCCUUCCCCCAGAAAACAAACCCAUGAUUUAUAUCUCUUGGUAUAGCUUUGCUUUGUCUAUCACUCAUUUUAUAGGAUCUUAUGAGACUUUAAGGGCAUAAUAUCUUUAAUAACAUAAUCAUGAAGAAAACAUGCUAUGAUGAAAGGCCAUUAUAAUGUAGCAAUUUAGCCCUAAAGUAAUAACCCUCAACUGUAAAUGUUACACCAUUUAUAAGAUUGUUUUUUUCACCAGACAAAAAGUAUUUAUUUGUGCUUGUCAUAUAAACAUGUGUGAUGUACAUAGUUAGUAAAACUGAUAGUAUUAAUAAAAAUCUUAAUAGGCUUCAUGAUUAGAAUAAAAUGAUAUUUUGAUCCAAAUCCCUAAUUAGAACAGUACAUUUACCAACUGUUCUCAUGGGAAAUGGAGCCAGAAUUCAUCAUUUAAAGUAGUACCUAAUUAAUCCUUUUUUGUAACAGAUGUCAACCUUAUUUUCAAAUCUUUUGUAGACAAUGACUUGCUGUAUGAAUCUUUUAAUUGUGUAUCUUGGGUUAUUUAUUUUUAACAUUGUAAUACGUGGUUAAAUAAAGGAGAUAUAGAUAAUCAGUUUACCUUUGGUUAACUUUUAAAUCUGGUUAGCUACUACAGUAGAGCUAUGGAAUGUUGAACACAACAAAUAUAUUUAUGGUUCCAUCAGAAUCAUUGUUAAAUAAAAUGUAACAGUAAAUCUGUUAAUCACAGUAUAGUGGAGAAGCCCUGAGCUUGGGAGCUAGGAGACCAGCCCUCGAUUGUGACCCUGCCAUGAUUAUUGCAUGAACUCAAGCAAUGUACCCCGUCUUGUGGACUUCAGAUACUGUAUGUGCGUUACAAGGCCACUGGACUACGUGACUUUUAGGGACCCUUCCAGGGUGAAGAUUCAUUACCUUUGAAAAACUACUCAGUUUUUAUGAU
Molecule: long non-coding RNA, 4658 nt
Organism: Canis lupus familiaris (dog)
Lineage: Eukaryota; Metazoa; Chordata; Mammalia; Carnivora; Canidae
Exons: 4
Source: RefSeq, a predicted model, not a curated record